GAUGAACGCUAGCUACAGGCUUAACACAUGCAAGUCGAGGGGAAACGAUAGAGAAAGCUUGCUUUUUCUAGGCGUCGACCGGCGCACGGGUGAGUAACGCGUAUCCAACCUGCCCAUCACUUGGGGAUAACCUUGCGAAAGUAAGACUAAUACCCAAUGACGUCUCUAGAAGACAUCUGAAAGAGAUUAAAGAUUUAUCGGUGAUGGAUGGGGAUGCGUCUGAUUAGCUUGUUGGCGGGGUAACGGCCCACCGAAGGCGACGAUCAGUAGGGGUUCUGAGAGGAAGGUCCCCCACAUUGGAACUGAGACACGGUCCAAACUCCUACGGGAGGCAGCAGUGAGGAUAUUGGUCAAUGGGGGGAAAACCCUGGAUGCAGCGACGCGCGU
This 387-nucleotide ribosomal RNA is filed under the name uncultured bacterium. RNAcentral describes it as "bacterial SSU rRNA". It matches the Rfam family "Bacterial small subunit ribosomal RNA", at positions 28 to 402 of the family's 1533-position model. The record is from RNAcentral.